UACGGAGGGUGCAAGCGUUGUUCGGAAUCACUGGGCGUAAAGCGCGUGUAGUCGGUCUGUUAAGUCAGGUGUGAAAUCCCCCAGCUUAACUGGGGAAUUGCGCCUGAAACUGGCAGGCUGGAGUGUCGGAGAGGGAAGGGGAACUCCCGGUGUAGAGGUGAAAUUCGUAGAUAUCGGGAAGAACACCCGUGGCGAAGGCGGUUCUCUGGGACGGUACUGACGCUGAGACGCGAAAGCGUGGGGAGCGAACAGG
Molecule: ribosomal RNA, 253 nt
Filed under: uncultured bacterium
Lineage: Bacteria
Description: partial 16S ribosomal RNA
Rfam family: Bacterial small subunit ribosomal RNA
Source: RNAcentral